AGAGUUUGAUCCUGGCUCAGGAUGAACGCUGGCGGCGUGCCUAAUACAUGCAAGUCGAGCGAACGGACGAGAAGCUUGCUUCUCUGAUGUUAGCGGCGGACGGGUGAGUAACACGUGGAUAACCUACCUAUAAGACUGGGAUAACUUCGGGAAACCGGAGCUAAUACCGGAUAAUAUUUUGAACCGCAUGGUUCAAAAGUGAAAGACGGUCUUGCUGUCACUUAUAGAUGGAUCCGCGCUGCAUUAGCUAGUUGGUAAGGUAACGGCUUACCAAGGCAACGAUGCAUAGCCGACCUGAGAGGGUGAUCGGCCACACUGGAACUGAGACACGGUCCAGACUCCUACGGGAGGCAGCAGUAGGGAAUCUUCCGCAAUGGGCGAAAGCCUGACGGAGCAACGCCGCGUGAGUGAUGAAGGUCUUCGGAUCGUAAAACUCUGUUAUUAGGGAAGAACAUAUGUGUAAGUAACUGUGCACAUCUUGACGGUACCUAAUCAGAAAGCCACGGCUAACUACGUGCCAGCAGCCGCGGUAAUACGUAGGUGGCAAGCGUUAUCCGGAAUUAUUGGGCGUAAAGCGCGCGUAGGCGGUUUUUUAAGUCUGAUGUGAAAGCCCACGGCUCAACCGUGGAGGGUCAUUGGAAACUGGAAAACUUGAGUGCAGAAGAGGAAAGUGGAAUUCCAUGUGUAGCGGUGAAAUGCGCAGAGAUAUGGAGGAACACCAGUGGCGAAGGCGACUUUCUGGUCUGUAACUGACGCUGAUGUGCGAAAGCGUGGGGAUCAAACAGGAUUAGAUACCCUGGUAGUCCACGCCGUAAACGAUGAGUGCUAAGUGUUAGGGGGUUUCCGCCCCUUAGUGCUGCAGCUAACGCAUUAAGCACUCCGCCUGGGGAGUACGACCGCAAGGUUGAAACUCAAAGGAAUUGACGGGGACCCGCACAAGCGGUGGAGCAUGUGGUUUAAUUCGAAGCAACGCGAAGAACCUUACCAAAUCUUGACAUCCUUUGACAACUCUAGAGAUAGAGCCUUCCCCUUCGGAGGACAAAGUGACAGGUGGUGCAUGGUUGUCGUCAGCUCGUGUCGUGAGAUGUUGGGUUAAGUCCCGCAACGAGCGCAACCCUUAAGCUUAGUUGCCAUCAUUAAGUUGGGCACUCUAAGUUGACUGCCGGUGACAAACCGGAGGAAGGUGGGGAUGACGUCAAAUCAUCAUGCCCCUUAUGAUUUGGGCUACACACGUGCUACAAUGGACAAUACAAAGGGUAGCGAAACCGCGAGGUCAAGCAAAUCCCAUAAAGUUGUUCUCAGUUCGGAUUGUAGUCUGCAACUCGACUACAUGAAGCUGGAAUCGCUAGUAAUCGUAGAUCAGCAUGCUACGGUGAAUACGUUCCCGGGUCUUGUACACACCGCCCGUCACACCACGAGAGUUUGUAACACCCGAAGCCGGUGGAGUAACCUUUUAGGAGCUAGCCGUCGAAGGUGGGACAAAUGAUUGGGGUGAAGUCGUAACAAGGUAGCCGUAUCGGAAGGUGCGGCUGGAUCACCU
RNAcentral lists this ribosomal RNA (1540 nucleotides) under Staphylococcus aureus. RNAcentral describes it as "16S ribosomal RNA". It matches the Rfam family "Bacterial small subunit ribosomal RNA". Lineage: Bacteria; Bacillati; Bacillota; Bacilli; Caryophanales; Staphylococcaceae. The record is from RNAcentral.